ACCCGUCUAGCUUAGUCGGUAGAGCGCUGGCCUUUUAAGCCAGUGGUCGUGGGUUUGAGCCCCACGGGGGGUG
This 73-nucleotide transfer RNA is filed under the name Phytophthora sojae. Its description in RNAcentral is "tRNA PHYSODRAFT_t456". It matches the Rfam family "tRNA". Rfam says of the family: Transfer RNA (tRNA) molecules are approximately 80 nucleotides in length. Their secondary structure includes four short double-helical elements and three loops (D, anti-codon, and T loops). Further hydrogen bonds mediate the characteristic L-shaped molecular structure. tRNAs have two regions of fundamental functional importance: the anti-codon, which is responsible for specific mRNA codon recognition, and the 3' end, to which the tRNAs corresponding amino acid is attached (by aminoacyl-tRNA synthetases). tRNAs cope with the degeneracy of the genetic code in two manners: having more than one tRNA (with a specific anti-codon) for a particular amino acid; and 'wobble' base-pairing, i.e. permitting non-standard base-pairing at the 3rd anti-codon position. Lineage: Eukaryota; Oomycota; Peronosporomycetes; Peronosporales; Peronosporaceae. RNAcentral also lists the same sequence under 1 other name. The record is from RNAcentral.